CCUACGGGAGGCAGCAGUGGGGAAUUUUGGACAAUGGGGGCAACCCUGAUCCAGCAAUGCCGCGUGUGUGAAGAAGGCCUUCGGGUUGUAAAGCACUUUCGGUGGGGACGAACAAGGUCGGGUGAAUAUCCCGGCCCUUGACGGUACCCAAAGAAGAAGCACCGGCUAACUCUGUGCCAGCAGCCGCGGUAAUACAGAGGGUGCAAGCGUUAAUCGGAAUUACUGGGCGUAAAGCGUGCGUAGGUGGUUUGAUAGGUCAGAUGUGAAAUCCCCGGGCUCAACCUGGGAACUGCAUUUGAUACUGUCGAACUCGAGUUCAGUAGAGGGUAGUAGAAUUCCCGGUGUAGCGGUGAAAUGCGUAGAUAUCGGGAGGAAUACCAGUGGCGAAGGCGGCUACCUGGACUGAAACUGACACUGAGGUACGAAAGCGUGGGUAGCAAACAGGAUUAGAUACCCUGGUAGUCCACGCCCUAAACGAUGGGUACUAGACGUCGGGAAGUUUAUCUUCCUGGUGUCGUCGCUAACGCAGUAAGUACCCCGCCUGGGGAGUACGGUCGCAAGAUUAAAACUCAAAUGAAUUGACGGGG
RNAcentral lists this ribosomal RNA (587 nucleotides) under uncultured Pseudomonadota bacterium. RNAcentral describes it as "bacterial SSU rRNA". It matches the Rfam family "Bacterial small subunit ribosomal RNA", at positions 338 to 918 of the family's 1533-position model. The record is from RNAcentral. Lineage: Bacteria; Pseudomonadati; Pseudomonadota.